RNAcentral lists this unclassified non-coding RNA (525 nucleotides) under Hevea brasiliensis (rubber tree). Lineage: Eukaryota; Viridiplantae; Streptophyta; Magnoliopsida; Malpighiales; Euphorbiaceae. The record is from RNAcentral.
CCUCAAACAGCCACUUACGAGUUUUCAGAAACUUCUAGAUUUUUCUAGAAUAUUCCAUGGCGGAGGGUAAGAGAUCCACUGGCUCUGUCAGUUGGUUCAGUGCACAGAAAGGUUUCGGCUUCAUUGCUCCGGACGACGGCGGCGAGGAUCUAUUUGUUCACCAGACCUCCAUCCAAUCUGAUGGCUUUAGGACACUGUCCGAGGGCCAGCCCGUCGAGUUCGCCAUCGAUUUUGGAGAGGACGGCCGUACCAAGGCUGUCGAUGUCGUCGGUAUCUUUAGAUCUCGCCGUGCCCCGCGCGGCGCUCGCUACCAGGGUAGUGGGAGAGGAUUCUAUGGCGGGAGGAGGAGAGGAGGUGGUAGUGGUCGAGGCGAUGCUGGUUAUGGGAGAGGUGGCUGGGGUGGCGGGUCAGGCGGUGAUUCUGGAUACAAUCCUGGUGGUGGAUAUGGCGGCGGCGGCGGCGGCGGCAGUGGAGCGUGUUAUAAUUGUGGGAGAUAUGGUCAUUUAGCGAGAGAUUGUUAUCAAA